Salvia splendens (bonfire salvia) is the source of this 918-nucleotide long non-coding RNA. RefSeq lists it as uncharacterized. Lineage: Eukaryota; Viridiplantae; Streptophyta; Magnoliopsida; Lamiales; Lamiaceae. The record is from RefSeq and is a predicted model, not a curated record. The transcript is spliced from 5 exons.
CCCUGCAGGAAUCAAACAAGAAACAUGAGUACAAGAGUCCUUUUGUCCCAAACUAAACACCAAGCAACAUUAAUUAUAAGGUACUACAAGAUCAUGAAAAGCAAGAUAUGUUGCAUAUGGAAACAAAAGGGAAAUCAGCUCUUUUAAUAACCAUGAGUACACUCUCACAACCAACAAAAAUGCCCCUGCAAGAGGACCAAGAGUUGCAGAUUUUGCAGUUACCAAAUCAGCCAAUAAAGGGCAGCCAAAGGACCCUUUUCUCUACACUAACAGCAACCCAGCAGGCUUUCGGUUACAACCAUCCUACAUAUACUCCAUGCCUUCGGUUCCACUCACUCCCAAUCACAUUAUUCACUAAACUAAAAAGCAAGUUGGAGAAGUAAGGGAAGCUAAGGUUUCUGGGCUGAUUUCAAAGACAACUGCAGUUUCAGCAGGAACGUCGUCGCUCGACGCGUAAUCUCAGGGCAGGAAAGCACCCGUUUUUGCAAGAGUUUAAGCAAUUGAGAUCACUCGGAAAUGGUUGACACACGCAAAUCGUCGACCGAAGGUGAAGGACGCCUAUUACGUUCUGGCCGUACGUCUGGUUCAGAUUUCAAAGCACAAUACUUUAGCCGCCGAUUUUAAUGGUUGACACAAGAAAAUCGUCGAUGGAAGCAAAGCGGAGGAAGGUCAACGUAGGCAUCAAAUAUACUCGUAGGUCAGUAGCUAAAUCAUAGCUGGUGGAUAAUUCAAAACACAAGAAAAGUUCGUUUGAUGUUCAGUACUCCAAGCCAAAUCCCUAUGCCAGAAGGUAAAAAGAAAUUUAUGACCUAGUCCUAAUUCAUGGGAUGAAGUUAACUGUGUUGUAUGAAUUUUAUUAACUGUGUUAUAUGCAUAUUUUGUGAAGAAAUAACAGUUGAAUGAAGAAAUAACAGUUGA